Molecule: ribosomal RNA, 253 nt
Filed under: uncultured bacterium
Lineage: Bacteria
Description: partial 16S ribosomal RNA
Rfam family: Bacterial small subunit ribosomal RNA
Source: RNAcentral
UACAGAGGGUGCGAGCGUUGUUCGGAAUUAUUGGGCGUAAAGGGUGCGUAGGUGGUUGCGUAAGUUAGGUGUGAAAGUCCCGGGCUUAACCUGGGGAUUGCGCCUAAUACUGUGUAGCUAGAGUACUGUAGAGGAAGGUGGAAUUUCCGGUGUAGCGGUGAAAUGCGUAGAUAUCGGAAGGAACAUCGGUGGCGAAGGCGACUUUCUGGACAGAUACUGACACUGAGGCACGAAAGCAUGGGGAGCAAACAGG